Molecule: non-coding RNA, 24 nt
Filed under: Arabidopsis thaliana (thale cress)
Lineage: Eukaryota; Viridiplantae; Streptophyta; Magnoliopsida; Brassicales; Brassicaceae
Source: RNAcentral
GUACUACGAAAGUGAAAGGUACCA